Molecule: long non-coding RNA, 793 nt
Organism: Mustela erminea (ermine)
Lineage: Eukaryota; Metazoa; Chordata; Mammalia; Carnivora; Mustelidae
Exons: 3
Source: RefSeq, a predicted model, not a curated record
AGGCGGGGCCCCCAAAUGAGGGGCGGGGUGUGCGGCGGAAGGGGAGGGGUCUGGUGGAAGGGGCGGUGCCCUACGGAAGGGGCGUGGUGCGUGACGGAAGAGGCGGGGCCCGAAGUAAGGGGCGGGGUGUGCGGCGGAAGGGGGGCGGUGCCCCACGGAAGGGGCGUGGUGCGUGACGGAAGAGGCGGGGCCCGAAGCAAGGGGCGGGGUGUGUGAGGGAGUGGGAGGGGUCUGGUGGGAGGGGUGGGGCCCUAAGGUGGGGGCGGAGUAUGUGACGGAAGGGGCGUGGUGCGUGGCGAAAGAGGCGGGGCCCGAGCGAAGGGGCGGGGCCUUGUGGACGGGCGGGGUGUGAUGGAAGAUGGACAGGAGCGGGCGGGGCGCGAUGGGAGGGGAGGGGUUAGGUGGAAGGGGCGGGGUCCGGCCGCAGGGGUGGGUGGAGUCUUCCCUUGGUCGCCUGUCUUGGGCACCUUUAAGCGCUGUCCUUGCUCUCCAGUCUGGUAGGUGGCGUGGCCGUCCCGGGCAGGAGUGGCCGGCCUAAGGACGGGGGACGGGGCGCUCUGCUCAGAAACCAAAGCCUUGGCACGCUUCGUGUCCUAGGACGCUUCGGGCCGUUGGUGAAGAUCCGCGCCUCCGACCUGGGCUGUGUGUCCCGACCCCGGCCCUGGGGACAGUUUCAGGAUGCCCUCUACCUGCCCCGGUCGGGGUGUCCCUGCGGCCACCCGCGUAGUCUUUGUAGAGGCUUCAGCGGCUCGCAACAGAGAUCCCAAGUAGGCCGAGAAGCAGGCAGAGAGAG